Non-coding RNA from Salmo salar (Atlantic salmon), 272 nucleotides. Lineage: Eukaryota; Metazoa; Chordata; Actinopteri; Salmoniformes; Salmonidae. The record is from RefSeq and is a predicted model, not a curated record.
AGGAUCACUCUGUAUGACUACCAGGCUCUCUGUAGAGAGUAUGCUGGCAGCAGUGACAGCACACGCUCUUUAUCACAUCCCUUCUCCAUGGUGAAAUGGCUCCUGACCAAACUUGUCAUUUUCCUGCUGGAGUUCAACCUUUACAGCUGGUGGCAUGUUGAUCUCUCAAAGCCCAAAGGUCGAGGGGUAAGACCAUGAUGGUGCCAUGUGACACGGAGUACCCUGCCUUCGUCUCUGAGCGUACCAUCGAAGAGACCACGGGAAACAUUGAC